CGAGCGACUGAUUAGAAGCUUGCUUCUAUGACGUUAGCGGCGGACGGGUGAGUAACACGUGGGCAACCUGCCUGUAAGACUGGGAUAACUUCGGGAAACCGAAGCUAAUACCGGAUAGGAUCUUCUCCUUCAUGGGAGAUGAUUGAAAGAUGGUUUCGGCUAUCACUUACAGAUGGGCCCGCGGUGCAUUAGCUAGUUGGUGAGGUAACGGCUCACCAAGGCAACGAUGCAUAGCCGACCUGAGAGGGUGAUCGGCCACACUGGGACUGAGACACGGCCCAGACUCCUACGGGAGGCAGCAGUAGGGAAUCUUCCGCAAUGGACGAAAGUCUGACGGAGCAACGCCGCGUGAGUGAUGAAGGCUUUCGGGUCGUAAAACUCUGUUGUUAGGGAAGAACAAGUACGAGAGUAACUGCUCGUACCUUGACGGUACCUAACCAGAAAGCCACGGCUAACUACGUGCCAGCAGCCGCGGUAAUACGUAGGUGGCAAGCGUUAUCCGGAAUUAUUGGGCGUAAAGCGCGCGCAGGCGGUUUCUUAAGUCUGAUGUGAAAGCCCACGGCUCAACCGUGGAGGGUCAUUGGAAACUGGGGAACUUGAGUGCAGAAGAGAAAAGCGGAAUUCCACGUGUAGCGGUGAAAUGCGUAGAGAUGUGGAGGAACACCAGUGGCGAAGGCGGCUUUUU
This 685-nucleotide ribosomal RNA is filed under the name Bacillus sp. FJAT-4624. RNAcentral describes it as "bacterial SSU rRNA". It matches the Rfam family "Bacterial small subunit ribosomal RNA", at positions 63 to 730 of the family's 1533-position model. The record is from RNAcentral. Lineage: Bacteria; Bacillati; Bacillota; Bacilli; Caryophanales; Bacillaceae.